RNAcentral lists this transfer RNA (62 nucleotides) under Phyllodiaptomus tunguidus. Its description in RNAcentral is "tRNA-Leu". Lineage: Eukaryota; Metazoa; Arthropoda; Copepoda; Calanoida; Diaptomidae. The record is from RNAcentral.
AAAGGUCUAAUUUAUAAAAAAUAUUUGCUUGUCAAGCAUAAAAUGCCAACUGGCGUCCUUGA